ACCUACGGGGCGCAGCAGUGGGGAAUAUUGCACAAUGGGGGAAACCCUGAUGCAGCGACGCCGCGUGAGUGAAGAAGUAUUUCGGUAUGUAAAGCUCUGUCAGCAGGGAAGAAAAUGACGGUACCUGACCAAGAAGCCCCGGCUAACUACGUGCCAGCAGCCGCGGUAAUACGUAGGGAGCAAGCGUUAUCCGGAUUUAUUGGGUGUAAAGGGUGCGUAGACGGAGAAGCAAGUUAGUUGUGAAAUCCCUCGGCUUAACUGAGGAACUGCAACUAAAACUACUUCCCUUGAGUACUGGAGAGGAA
This 305-nucleotide ribosomal RNA is filed under the name uncultured bacterium. RNAcentral describes it as "bacterial SSU rRNA". It matches the Rfam family "Bacterial small subunit ribosomal RNA", at positions 337 to 659 of the family's 1533-position model. The record is from RNAcentral.